UUUGUUUUCAAGAAAUUAUGAACAACCCUUUGAAUAUCUUCCUUUGUUAUAGAAUCGAUAGCG
Molecule: non-coding RNA, 63 nt
Filed under: Plasmodium falciparum 3D7
Lineage: Eukaryota; Apicomplexa; Aconoidasida; Haemosporida; Plasmodiidae
Source: RNAcentral